RNAcentral lists this ribosomal RNA (253 nucleotides) under uncultured bacterium. RNAcentral describes it as "partial 16S ribosomal RNA". It matches the Rfam family "Bacterial small subunit ribosomal RNA", at positions 524 to 776 of the family's 1533-position model. The record is from RNAcentral.
UACAGAGGAGCCAAGCGUUGUCCGGAUUGACUGGGCGUAAAGCGCACGCAGGCGGAUGCGCGCGUGGGGUGUGAAAUCUGGCCGCUUAACGGCCAGGCGCCAUCCCAUACGGCGCGUCUGGAGUGAUGCAGAGGUCGAUGGAAUUGCCGGUGUAGUGGUGAAAUGCGUAGAUAUCUGGAGGAACACCGGUGGCGAAGGCGGCAUCCUGGACCGACACUGACGCUGAGGAGCGAAAGCCAGGGGAGCAAACGGG